This 21-nucleotide non-coding RNA is filed under the name Arabidopsis thaliana (thale cress). The record is from RNAcentral. Lineage: Eukaryota; Viridiplantae; Streptophyta; Magnoliopsida; Brassicales; Brassicaceae.
GCACCAAACAUGUUCGAACGA